GCCCAGGUGGUGGAAUUGGUAGACACGCCACUUUGAGGGGGUGGUGCCGGUUACGGUGUGCAAGUUCGAUUCUUGUCCUGGGCAC
RNAcentral lists this transfer RNA (85 nucleotides) under Bacteroidetes bacterium ADurb.Bin037. Its description in RNAcentral is "tRNA-Leu". It matches the Rfam family "tRNA". From Rfam's summary of the family: Transfer RNA (tRNA) molecules are approximately 80 nucleotides in length. Their secondary structure includes four short double-helical elements and three loops (D, anti-codon, and T loops). Lineage: Bacteria; Pseudomonadati; Bacteroidota. The record is from RNAcentral.